This 2411-nucleotide long non-coding RNA is filed under the name Apteryx rowi (Okarito brown kiwi). RNAcentral's name for it is "lncRNA (ENSARWG00000008348.1)". Lineage: Eukaryota; Metazoa; Chordata; Aves; Apterygiformes; Apterygidae. The record is from RNAcentral.
UCCCUCCCCCCUGCCUGUUCAAGAAAUGGCAGGAAACAGUAAACACUAAUCCAGAAUCUUUUAUAUAUUUCUAGUUAAACUAGUAUUGACUUUCAGGUAUUGUCUGUAUGUUAGGUGGGUGUGGGGAAAGUCUUGUAACUUUUAUCGAAAUUGUAUUAAACUUCUGUUUCCUAAAUUCAGUAUUUUCUUAAAGAAUUGCUUGGUUUUUCCAAUCAGUAUGUAAGCUUUUGCCAAAUGUUAAGCGGGCUGCUGGCAGUGAGGAGGAAAGCAGCAGUUCAGAGGAGCCCUCCACUAAUGAACAGACCACCCAUGUCUGUAAAAGUCCCCUGUGGGAGCUGGCUCAUGCCAGGUGCGUACCCUGUCACAACAGUGAACUUAGCUGUUUUCUCUCCUGAUGGACAAUGCCAAGCCUGGAUAGAAACCCCGUGCGCAAAUGUACAAUGAGAAGGUGGAGGACUGCUGGAAAAGGAGGAGCAACAGUUCUGCCUUGAGGCCUGCAGCUGGAUAUCCCUCGGUGGAGGAUGUAACGCGCAGCACGCGAGUUGCCACAGAUUUCGCCCUUGUGCUGCGUCAGGCUCAGUGGGUAACUUACCCCCAGAACCAUUGCAUCUGUGUCACCCGCACUGACAGCGUUUCUUCCGGGACUGUAAGUAGCUUCCAGAGUUACGGCACAAGUGAUUAGAGGUGCACCUCCCUUCUCCCCCUUCUCAUUUUAAGAUCAGCGUGUUGCUCCCAGCUAGUCCAAGAACAAGCAUUGGAGGGUGUUCCUGAACUUAGCUGGAAGUGCCUGGGGCUCUCGCCCAAGGCUGUGGCACCAUCCUGUCCUGGAACCAAUAUUUUAUUCGUGAAGUCUAAUGAGCAUUGGUGGGAAUUUUGUUUGGUUUUUAUAAGAAGUAUUUUACAUAUGGAUUUUUUUAGACUGUUUAUAAUCUCCUUGAAAACCUGAAAUAAUAGAAUUGUUCCCCCAGCAAUAGUUCUUCUCCACUGUGUGCACAUGCUGAUUUGUUACUAAAAGGUUUCUUGCAAGUACUUAGUUGUUCUACAGAGUUGUUGUUUUUUGGGGUAUGUGGUAGCAUUGGGGACCACAUGAGGAAUGACUCUGCAAACAAAGAAUGGUCAAAUUUGGGCCUCAUCUUGUGUCCCCUUCUAGUUACAUAUGAAAGAGUUCCCUGUGUAGAUUCUCUAUAGGCUGGCUGAAUGCUGUUCUGAACAUGCCAUGUACAGGUAUUUGUGGAUAAAGUGUUUGUUCUUGUGUCACUCUUGAGAGCAUGGAUGGAUUAUUGUAAAAUAGGAAGGAGGUGGCAGUGCUGCUGUUAGCAUUGCUUCAGGUCUUCGAGGAUGUGUAGUAACUUGCAUUGUUUAAAAAAAAAAAAGGAAAAAAAAAAUCCAAAAUUGACUUCUAGCCAUAAUGGUUUUUCCAAGGAAAAUGGACAGAACUCUGUUACUUUUCAGUGUCCUUCAUCUUGUUACUGAAGGCAUGAACAAGUGAUGAUCAAUCUGAAGGCUUUCAGAGUUGCUUUGAAUUGAAUCAUGUGGAGGUAAGAUUAGGACACAGCUUUUCCUUUGUCCUUGGCCUUUGUAUUAAAGGGCAAAAGAGGGUCAGGAGUACUUUCCUGUUGUCUUGGUCUGAUACGUAUUAAGCCUUGAGGCUUUGAUUACUGACAUUUGCUAUUAAAAAGGAUAGAAAGGCUGGCUGGAUCCCAAAAUGCCAGCCCAAAGAAUAUUGGACACAUUGGUAAUGAGACUGGCUCUGUUGUGGUCAGACUGAAUAUAUGGAAGUGCAAUGAUUUAGCCACCGGUUCUUAUACUGUUGUGUGCGGUGGCAGCAUCAGAACUAGCAAAGAAAUUGAUGCACCAAUCCAGGAACAGUUGUUGUCAGAUCUGGAAUGUAUUUGAUGGUAAGACAUUAAAAUUCCCUUGUGGAGCUUGCCCCAUCAUGUUCUCUGCGAGCAGAGACCUAAGUCACUAUGGUUCAGCAAAUUUCAACUGUAAUGUUCUCUAAUGCACUAUAGCACAGUUGGUGUACUCAAAAGAAGCUUCUCUUAUUAAUUCAGGUGCCUGGCACUCACUAGUUGGCACGCUUCUGUCAAGGCUAUAGACAACCAUUGUGCACCUUGUACAAGUAUUACUUUUAAAAAGAUGAAAAAUCAAUUGGUAUUUUCAUGGGGGCAUGAAAUAGCCAUCAAAAACUAAAGAGAUGAGUUUGCACUCCUAAAGAAAAUGUAAGUACUUCAACGUCUAGAUAAUUUUUAAUUGUAUUUCCGCCUAGAGCCAAGGUAUUAAAUACCUUGUCACUUGAGGAUUUUAACAGUUGUGUUGGGAAAUGAGUUCUUCACCCAGCUGUAAGAAAUUCAGCUGGCCCAAGACUAACUUCAAGAUUAAAAAAAAUAAAAAAUCAUGUUUGUAAUACA